Molecule: long non-coding RNA, 2516 nt
Organism: Oryctolagus cuniculus (rabbit)
Lineage: Eukaryota; Metazoa; Chordata; Mammalia; Lagomorpha; Leporidae
Source: Ensembl
AGUGGAGUCUCCAGGCAAACUAUGCAGUAUUUCAUGGUCGGAAAGAAUCAAAGGAAGUUUAAAUGAGGGUGGAGUUAAACUGUGCUAAAUUACAGUAGUGCUUAUUAGUAACUAGAUUUCAAAAGGUUACAGAAAAUGUACAUUCUCUACACAAAACGGCAUUUGCUGCACAGACAACAUGACAUCGACACAGGGAGGAAACUGAUUGUCCGUUCUUUGCCCAGGAAGUCUCGGGAUUUUAUAGAUUCAUCUUUACCUCUUUUUUUUUGUUGUUGCUCUUCUGAAAAAGCAGUUAAUUUUUUUUCUUUUCUUUCUCUUUUUUAUACUAGGGACGUGGAGAUGUUAAAACGACAACAAAAAAUAUAUAUAUAAAAACAGGAAUGAAAUCUGUGAGAGAAUAUUUUUGGUUCUAAAGACGGGUGCGUCCGUUUGUCUUCGCCCGAAUCCCUUGCCGGAGACCACACGAGCAGUGACAUUGCACGCAGAGGGCAGCUUUGGGGUCCCGCCGCGUCACUGAAACCACCGGAAGGCGGCUCCCGUCGGAAGCAUCACCUUCUGGCGGGGGAGGGGCGGGAGACAAAAACAAGGAGAGAGUUCAGUCAGGGUCCGCGCGGGCCUGCGGCAAAGGCGCUCCCCCGCCGACGGCCUCGCGGCUGGAGGGGUGCGGCCACUCUGCGGAGCUCCUGGCCUCCUGGCCGCCCUGGGGCCCUCCUCGCAGACGGGAAGAGCCCCUCCCCUGGUCCAAAGGCAGCCAGCGCCAGGUGGGGUGGCUGGGCUGCACCUGGGGGCCGAGUGACUCUCUGUGACGCGCGCACUGGACACGCACACGGGAGCGUGUCUCACGCUAGGCGAGAUGGUGCCGGGUGGAUGGAUGGAGCCGGGGUAGGGGCGGGGUGGUAUCUGGCGGUCCUCACGGGUGCUGUCUACACAGGAGGCCGUGUCCCGGGCAGGUUUGAGUGUCUACAGCGGACAGAAGGGGGCAUCUUGUGUGCAGGCAGGAGGUCUAGGGGCCAGCCUGUGGGGGUGGCCAGGAGGGGUGGCCGUGGACAUUUGCGUCAAGCCCACUUGCAGAGGGGCGGGGACAGGAGCAGGGACAGCAGGCUGAAAAGACGCUUUGUGCCAGGCCUGGCACGCCAGCAAGGUUGCCACGUCUGGGGGCACAGGAACACGCCCUACCACAGGGUGGAGAGAAAGCUCAACGGGAGCCCCUGCGCCUCCUCUAAGCCAGUUCUGCAGUGGACAGGCCCUUGCCUGGGCCCCAGGCUUCUGGCCACCCCGACACCAGGUUCCCCAAAUCUGGCAACUAGGGCUCUCCUGGGCCUGAGCAGCCAGCUCUGCCUGUGGGGGAGCUCAGGGGAGAGGCUGGGCUCCAGGGAGUCAAGUGCAGGGCUGAGUCUCAAGGCCACAGGGUCCAUGAGACAGCACUGGACCCCACGCCGGGUUGGGGCGAGUCCCAGAACCUUAGGUCACGUGUGCGAGUCAGACUCAGUGCCCGGCUCGGGACCCCAGAGCUGAGCAGCUGCGAUCGGAGUCCAGGGACCUAGGGCCUCCCCUCCUGGCGGGCAGCACCAGGGGACAGGCCGGGAAAAGCUGCUCAGAAACACAUGGGCCCAGCAGUGGGCAGAGGGGAGCACAAGCCCCACACGGCGAGGACCUGGGUCGGUCCUGCCACUCCCCGACUGCUGACUCCACCAAGCCCUUCAACAGCUGAGUCCCACCUCUUAACCAGUUCUUACUCCUCACCCCAAGCCGCAGGGUCCCAAGCCAGGGGGCCCCGCGGGGAAGGAAAGGGAGUGGCAGAAGCAACAAUCGCAGGUGCUGACCCUCUGCUCCCCCAAGUCCCAGGAGGAGGACUGGGAGGUGCGCACACCUCCAGCGAUGUGGCUCGCAGGGCACCCAGGCCUCCCCGCCCAUUUCCACGGAGGAUACUGUACCUGCGCUCACACUCACUCUGCCAUGCGCUGUUCUGCACCUAUGCAUUUACUCCUCAGAUUCUCUCUACAACCCCGUAUCUAACAGCAGCCCCAUUUCCCAGUAGGACAACUAAGACCCAGGGAGAUCAAGCCCCCUGCUUAAGGCCAUAAGGUCAGCAAGUGGCACAGCCAGGAUUUGAACCCAGGUCUGCAUGGCUCCUGGGCCUCGCUCUCCAACGUUGGCUCCGAGGCACAUAGGGGGGCCAUGGCCGGACAAUGAGGCCCCGUCCAGCUCUGAGCCUGCGAGAACCCCUAGGUUUCCCGUGGGCCCUGAGGGUGGCUCUCAGGAUCCGGGCAAAUCCCGUUAGGGCCACGUUGCUGACAAGUCUGAGCUGCACCCCAAGGCCCAGGAGAACACAGAGGAAGGGGCUGCGGGUGGGCUGGACGGGCCAGAGCUCCGGGCAUUCCGGCGGCCUCCGCAGGAAGCAGAACGGGACGGAAACCGGCUCCUGCCUCCUCCCCCAGAAUCCUGUGGGCAGCCAGGCCGGGCUGCACAGAGGCCCUCUUUGUGCCUGCCCUAACCCGCCACCCGCGGCCGGCCCA